UCCGUAGGCGGUGUGGCAAGUCGGUAGUGAAAUCUCUCGGCUUAACUGAGAGGCUGCUGCCGAAACUGCCAUGCUCGAGUGCGAGAGAGGCGAGUGGAAUUGCGGGUGUAGCGGUGAAAUGCGUAGAUAUCCGCAGGAACAUCCGAGGCGAAAGCGGCUCGCUGGAUCGCAACUGACGCUGAGGGACGAAAGCUAGGGGAGCAAACAGGAUUAGAUACCCUGGCAGUCCUAGCCCUAAACCAUCAGGACUUGGGGUUUGCCCUGUACGGGGCAAGUCCCGGAGCUAACGCGUUAAGUCCUGCGCCUGGGGAGUACGGUCGCAAGGCUGAA
This 330-nucleotide ribosomal RNA is filed under the name uncultured bacterium. RNAcentral's name for it is "bacterial SSU rRNA". It matches the Rfam family "Bacterial small subunit ribosomal RNA", at positions 568 to 898 of the family's 1533-position model. The record is from RNAcentral.